UUCAAGUGACAUCGUUUGCACCUAACUAAUUAGUUGGGCUUCGACAAAAAAAGUAAUUAUUUCAGCUUGGAAUUAACGUUGGGCUUGGAGUUGUGUAGGCUUGCAGUUGAAGUUAGAGUUAGGCUUGGAGAAGGAUUCCGUUGGGAGAAGAAGUUGGAAUUGGCCUAAUCUUAUAUAAAUAAAUAAUUAAAUAAAAUAAAAAAUAUUUAUAUUUAAGCCGGUCUGGUUUUUACUGAUAGAAAAUUGGAACCGAAAGCCAUUUGAAUCGGUCUGGUUCAUUUUUUUUUUCCGAUUUUUACUUUUUUUGCCAAUGUGGUUUCUUUUCGAUUUUUUCCUGGUUGGUUCUACUCGGUUUUCCGAUUUGGAUUCCCACUCUUAACAAAAUUUUGUUUUGUUUUUUUUGUAAGAACCUUUUUUAUUGAGAUGGACAAUAACAUACUAAACUCACAUACAUUACACGAUUCUUAGGACUAAAACUCAAAACUUUUCCUCGAAGAAUAAUUGCUCUAAACCACUAUACUAGUGGUUAAUUUUGAUAAUGAAGGGAUGUUGUGUACUAUGAAUAGCCUGACAUUGGAUUUUUUUCGUUUUAUUUUGAUGGUAGAGAGAGAACCUAAACCCGUUUUAUUUUGAUUAGGGUUGUGCUUGUGAUUCCCUAUCACAAGCCAAAAGAGUAGAGAGAAAGAAAGAAAAAAACAUUGAACCAACAAUUUUUUCAAAUACGUUUUUGAAAUAAACAAAAUUACAACCAAGAAAUUCAUCAGAAUAAACAUACCACCUCUUAUAUUCGUGCUUAUUUCAGUGGCCAAUUCUUUUUUUCUUUUUACCCAAUUCACCAUUAAUUAGUUUUCGUUCCAUUAACACUCUGGAUAUCGUCUCUACAACAUAACCGAAGCUCCGCUUUUGAAGUAAUGGAUUGAUGAGAUGCAAACCAAGUCAGGCAAUUUUAACGUACACCAACAGAAUCUUAGAGGAAUAAGAACUUAAUUUGUUGUAUUUUUUCUUUUUUCUUGUUCUUUUUGCGGGACAAAUAAGGAUGCACAUCGUCUUUUCUACAUGCCAUCCCAUUUAAAUAUCAUCUAAUGACUGAAACACUAACACCAAAUUUUAUUUUUUGGUUGUUAGGUUUAAUGGUCUCUGAACUUUGACCCGAUUAUUAUUUUGGUUCCUCAAUUUUCAAAAUCGUUCCCGUGGUCCUUUAACUUCAGUUUCGUUAGGACAAAUAGUCCUGCCGUCAAUUUUGUUAUCUUUUCCGUUAAAUGCAGGAGAAAAUUAUCUUUUUAUUUUAUUUUUAGUUUUCACCAUUUGAAUAUUUCUUUCACCUAAAAAAUCUUCCUAUCCUUGCCAUAGUAACCAC
RNAcentral lists this long non-coding RNA (1357 nucleotides) under Prunus persica (peach). Its description in RNAcentral is "long non-coding RNA (PPER_LNC004283)". Lineage: Eukaryota; Viridiplantae; Streptophyta; Magnoliopsida; Rosales; Rosaceae. The record is from RNAcentral.